Molecule: small nuclear RNA, 107 nt
Organism: Sciurus vulgaris (Eurasian red squirrel)
Lineage: Eukaryota; Metazoa; Chordata; Mammalia; Rodentia; Sciuridae
Source: Ensembl
GUGCUUGCUUCAGCAGCACACAUAGUAAAAUUGGAACAAUCCGGAGAAGAUUAGCAUGGCCCCUGCGCAAGGAUGACACACAAAUUCGUGAAGUGUUCCAUAUUAAA